Molecule: ribosomal RNA, 497 nt
Filed under: uncultured bacterium
Lineage: Bacteria
Description: partial 16S ribosomal RNA
Rfam family: Bacterial small subunit ribosomal RNA
Source: RNAcentral
GAUGAACGCUGGCGGCGUGCCUAAUACAUGCAAGUCGAGCGAACAGACGAGGAGCUUGCUCCUCUGACGUUAGCGGCGGACGGGUGAGUAACACGUGGAUAACCUACCUAUAAGACUGGGAUAACUUCGGGAAACCGGAGCUAAUACCGGAUAAUAUAUUGAACCGCAUGGUUCAAUAGUGAAAGACGGUUUUGCUGUCACUUAUAGAUGGAUCCGCGCCGCAUUAGCUAGUUGGUAAGGUAACGGCUUACCAAGGCAACGAUGCGUAGCCGACCUGAGAGGGUGAGCGGCCACACUGGAACUGAGACACGGUCCAGACUCCUACGGGAGGCAGCAGUAGGGAAUCUUCCGCAAAGGGCAAAAGCCUGACGGAGCAACGCCGCGUGAGUGAUGAAGGUCUUCGGAUCGUAAAACUCUGUUAUUAGGGAAGAACAAAUGUGUAAGUAACUAUGCACGUCUUGACGGUACCUAAUCAGAAAGCCACGGCUAACUACGUG